This 200-nucleotide ribosomal RNA is filed under the name uncultured bacterium. RNAcentral describes it as "partial 16S ribosomal RNA". It matches the Rfam family "Bacterial small subunit ribosomal RNA", at positions 524 to 723 of the family's 1533-position model. The record is from RNAcentral.
GACGGAGGGUGCGAACGUUGUUCGGAAUCACUGGGCAUAAAGCGCGCGUAGGCGGUCCACUAAGUCAGUUGUGAAAUCCCUCGGCUCAACCGAGGAACUGCAACUGAUACUGGUGGACUUGAGGAUGGUAGGGGUGAGCGGAACUCCAGGUGGAGCGGUGAAAUGCGUAGAUAUCUGGAGGAACACCGGUGGCGAAAGCG